GCACCCUUAGCCCAGCUGGAUAGAGCAUCGGAUUUCUAAUCCGCAGGUCGCAGGUUCGAAUCCUGCAGGGUGCGCCA
Molecule: transfer RNA, 77 nt
Filed under: bacterium
Lineage: Bacteria
Also listed under: 1 other name
Description: tRNA-Arg
Rfam family: tRNA
About the family: Transfer RNA (tRNA) molecules are approximately 80 nucleotides in length. Their secondary structure includes four short double-helical elements and three loops (D, anti-codon, and T loops).
Source: RNAcentral